GCUUAUAGGAAGAGUGGAAAUAUCACAAUCGAUAUUGCGACAUCUAAUCCAAACAACAUAUCAACAACAUCCCUAUUCUUUCUUUCCUAGCUUUAGGAUCAGAUUUAUGCCCUACAGAAGGAGUAAAUCCGACAACCCUAUUCUUUCUUUCCUAGCUUUAGGGUCAGAUUUAUGCCCUAUAGAAGGAGUAAAUCCUUGGCGCUAUUUUUGAUGUUCAAGGGAUUUACAAUCAUGCAACAAGCAUUCCUUGUAGGGUGCAUGUCUAUAGCUCGAGACCACAUCUGUAUAGUGUCCGCUCUAGAGUCUGCUCUUCCAGCAGCACCCGUGUGUGCUUCAGACUCUUUCCUUUCAUAUAUUUCUACCAUGUCGUUCGGAAUAUUUUCAAGAGAUAACCGGGACUGAGUCCUCAUCCUCCGCUUAUUAAUUUUUGAGACAACUUCAUAAUACCCAGCAAUCCGGAAAAUGUAUAAAAAUUAAGAGAAUUGGGUGUAAGGGGCGAGGUGGGACAACUUAAUAGGCGAAUCAACCUUCUAUCACACAAACGACACGAGCUAGCUGAACGAACAACGAUAUUAGUUAUACCGUGGAAGUCAUGAGCUCCAUUCAUCGCACUAGCUACUAUUUUUGCUUUUGUAUGGCUUAAACCGUCCAGGAUAGAUGGGCUGCUUCAUUGGCGCGAGUGAGCCGACUUCUAAGGGCGACGUGCGAAACAGGAAAAAUGAGACAUUAAAAUCGUGUCAAACCUACGGAAACUUUUUUUUUUCACUUACCAUGGCAGUGGUGGGCAAUUUUCAUCGACUAUAAGGAUAAUUGUCACGACGGACGGACGGACAAAGUUUUCAGAGAAAUGCACUGUCCUUUAUUAAUAGGUAUGGAUUGGUGCUAUAAUCAGUUAUACAUGCCAAAACAAGUUUUAGGCUUUUAAAAAAUUGGCUUUGAACUUUUGAAUACACACUCUUCAACCGCCUCUGUUCAUAGGUUGGGAUGCACUUGCGUUCAUACGUUCAUAGAAAUAAGUGCGCAUGCAUGUGGUGAACAUCUUGCUGGUACAUUACCCUUCUUAAAGAAAUAUAAGAGCGUUUAGAUUAUUAAAAAUGCUCUUGUAUUUCUUUACAGAGAGAGUAGUAUGUUGAAGUACUAAACCUUUUCUACACGCAAGAAUGAUAUGCCCUCGCAUUCACGAGAGUCACUCGUGGUUAAAACAAAGGGACUAGAGAGAUCGAUAGAAGCAGAGGGAGUGCUGUAGUGGGCUGGCUUUUACCUCUUGCGUGGUCGUUCUCUCGCCGAGUCGCCGCGCGCCCGUAGGAGGGAUGUUGGGAUCUCGUCGGCCGAGAGAGAGGGAGCGACGGCGGCCGGAACCCCGCCGAGCCGGGAGGAGAUGGAGCAAAACUUGGGUGUAUUCUGGCUGGUGAGCGAGACUGCGAC
Molecule: long non-coding RNA, 1425 nt
Filed under: Triticum aestivum (bread wheat)
Lineage: Eukaryota; Viridiplantae; Streptophyta; Magnoliopsida; Poales; Poaceae
Description: long non-coding RNA (TAES_LNC021723)
Source: RNAcentral